GACGAACGCUGGCGGCGUGCUUAACACAUGCCAGUCGAACGGAAAGGCCCCUUUGGGGGUACUCGAGUGGCGAACGGGUGAGUAACACGUGAGUAACCUGCCCUUGACUUCGGGAUAACUUCAGGAAACUGGGGCUAAUACCGGAUAGGAAUCCUUGCUGCAUGGUGGGGGUUGGAAAGCUUCGGCGGUUUUGGAUGGACUCGCGGCUUAUCAGCUUGUUGGUGGGGUAGUGGCUUACCAAGGCUUUGACGGGUAGCCGGCCUGAGAGGGCGAACGGCCACAGUGGGACUGAGAUACGGCCCAGACUCCUACGGGAGGCAGCAGGGGGGAAUAUUGCACAAUGGGCGGAAGCCUGAUGCAGCAACGCCGCGGGCGGGAGGACGGCCUUCGGGUUGUAAACCGCUUUCAGCAGGGGCGAAGCUUGUGGUGACGGUACCUGCAGAAGAAGCACCGGCUAACUACGUG
RNAcentral lists this ribosomal RNA (465 nucleotides) under uncultured bacterium. RNAcentral describes it as "partial 16S ribosomal RNA". It matches the Rfam family "Bacterial small subunit ribosomal RNA", at positions 28 to 507 of the family's 1533-position model. The record is from RNAcentral.